Thalassophryne amazonica is the source of this 181-nucleotide long non-coding RNA. RefSeq lists it as uncharacterized. The record is from RefSeq and is a predicted model, not a curated record. NCBI's taxonomy places the organism in Eukaryota, Metazoa, Chordata, Actinopteri, Batrachoidiformes, Batrachoididae. The transcript is spliced from 4 exons.
AAGUCCCUGUUGGCUUUUAAGCAACAGUGGAAUACCAAAAUAUAGGCCCCUUUUCUGUUGUUUAUAAAUUAAUAAAAUAUCAAAUGACAAGGAUCUAUUUUAGCCAUUAUAUAAAACAAAUAAUGAAUGUUUUUACAUUCUUUCAAUGAAAAUAAUUAACAAGUAUCUAGAGAUAACAAGA